This 456-nucleotide ribosomal RNA is filed under the name uncultured bacterium. RNAcentral describes it as "bacterial SSU rRNA". It matches the Rfam family "Bacterial small subunit ribosomal RNA", at positions 342 to 794 of the family's 1533-position model. The record is from RNAcentral.
UUGGAGGCAGCAGUAAGGAAUAUUGGUCAAUGGGCGAAAGCCUGAACCAGCCAUCCAGCGUGCAGGAAGAAGGCCCUAUGGGUUGUAAACUGCUUUUAUCAGGGAAGAAACCUCUGGAUUCACUCCGGAGCUGACGGUACCUGAAGAAUAAGCACCGGCUAACUCCGUGCCAGCAGCCGCGGUAAUACGGAGGGUGCGAGCGUUAUCCGGAAUUACUGGGUUUAAAGGGUGCGUAGGCGGCUUUGUAAGUCAGGAGUGAAAGUUUGCGGCUCAACCGUAAAAUUGCUUCUGAUACUGCAUAGCUAGAAUUAGGAUGAGGUCAGCGGAAUGUGGCAUGUAGCGGUGAAAUGCAUAGAUAUGCCAUAGAACACCAAUUGCGAAGGCAGCUGGCUAGACCUGGAUUGACGCUGAGGCACGAAAGCGUGGGGAGCGAACAGGAUUAGAUACCCUGGUAGC